GGAUUGUGGCUCAGUGGUAGAUCAUUUGCCUUGCAUGUGUGAGGCCCUGGGUUCGGUCCUCAGCACCA
This 68-nucleotide transfer RNA is filed under the name Marmota monax (woodchuck). RNAcentral's name for it is "tRNA.Ala". Lineage: Eukaryota; Metazoa; Chordata; Mammalia; Rodentia; Sciuridae. The record is from RNAcentral.